AACCAAGUUCAAUGUGUACGAUUUUUAUUUACAGUUACAGACAUUCAAUAUUCAAAGCAACGCAGCAAAUGUCGGAAAAACAUCACAAUACAAUCUAAAAUGGAAAUAGUAAUACGAGAAAAAGUCGUCUUAUAUGUCAUUAUUUGUGCUGCCACUAUCAUCAUUACUCUUAUCGCUACGUGUAUAUUUGCGAGAGGAAUUUCCAUUUUCCUUCAUUUGACAUCGUCGAUGGCAUAUCGACUUGAUUGAUAUUCAUUAUUGCAUUCAACACGUGCAAUACGUUUC
Molecule: long non-coding RNA, 285 nt
Organism: Culicoides brevitarsis
Lineage: Eukaryota; Metazoa; Arthropoda; Insecta; Diptera; Ceratopogonidae
Exons: 3
Source: RefSeq, a predicted model, not a curated record